CUGCCACAUCGAUGACUGCAAUUACUACUAAAAAUGAUGACGGGCAUGAUUCUAACUUUUUUCACUGAUGGUGAAGAGCGUACAUCUCCCCAUUUACAUUAUUUCCUGAAGACGGACUCGUCCCCGGGGACACGCAGCUGUCAUGGAACUGGGCACAGAAUUCCAGACUGCAGCCUCAGAACAGCGUGGAGACGACAAGGCAUAACUUUGACCUCAUCGGCACGAUGGAGCCCCAUGUCCUGACAGGCACCACAGGCAGCUCCAGGCCUGUGAGGAAUCCAGCUAGAUUGAAGACCAGGCCUGUCGGGGAGCCUGAGGCUUGAGUUGGCUGCAAGGAAUGCAUCCUCGCGAGCUGCGGAAGAUGGGGCGCGUGCGCACGCGUGCCCCAUCUAGUUACUCAGCUGUUCUAGGGCACUGCGCGAUUUGCUGCCACAGCACGGCUGAUGAAUGGUGUUUGUCUGCGCCUGGGAUCCGACCCCACAAACCCAGGCCACCAAAGCAAAUUGUGCCAAGUCAACCACUAGGCCACAGGGCUGGCCCCUCGACUUUAGCCCCUCGACUUUUUCUCUUGGUUGCUUCCUCCUAGAACGUUCCAUCAUCCAGUGACAGAAACGCUCCCAUCUGGGGAGAGCUGUGAAGACGUCAUCUGCCUCUCUGUGUGUCUGUGGUGUCUGUGCUAUAUAGCGUUCGGUUUUGUGGGGUUGUUUUAGAAACAUGCCUGUUUAUGAACGUGCAUCUUUGAUGUUGACAGCACAUGCCCUUAGGACUUUAACCAACCCCCCAGCUCGUUGCCCUCUGGUGCUUUCUUAGAGGUGCUGUUUGCUCAUCGUUCACGCUGAUGGUAAACGUUUUUGACGGUGCAUGGAUAUCACGUGCCUGUUUAUUUAUUUAUAAAUGAUACCCGUAAACAACUGUCCUAACACAUCUACGUUAUAAAGAAAAAUGUAGGAUUUUACACGGAAUAAGACAAAAUAAACACCGGUAGGAGUAUUCGUACUUUCUUCCGCAUGCCAUGGGUUUACUUGCACGUUCCCAGAGUUUGAACACACCUGAUGGA
Long non-coding RNA from Equus quagga, 1057 nucleotides. RefSeq lists it as uncharacterized. The record is from RefSeq and is a predicted model, not a curated record. The transcript is spliced from 3 exons. NCBI's taxonomy places the organism in Eukaryota, Metazoa, Chordata, Mammalia, Perissodactyla, Equidae.